Molecule: ribosomal RNA, 379 nt
Filed under: uncultured cyanobacterium
Lineage: Bacteria; Bacillati; Cyanobacteriota
Description: bacterial SSU rRNA
Rfam family: Bacterial small subunit ribosomal RNA
Source: RNAcentral
CGAAAGCCUGACGGAGCAACGCCGCGUGUGGGAAGAAGGCUCUUGGGCUGUCAACCACUUUUCUCAGGGAAGAAGUUCUGACGGUACCUGAGGAAUCAGCCUCGGCUAACUCCGUGCCAGCAGCCGCGGUAAUACGGAGGAGGCAAGCGUUAUCCGGAAUUAUUGGGCGUAAAGCGUCCGCAGGUGGCCAUUUAAGUCUGCUGUCAAAGACCGGGGCUCAACUCCGGGUCGGCAGUGGAAACUGGAUGGCUAGAGUACGGUAGGGGUAGAGGGAAUUCCCGGUGUAGCGGUGAAAUGCGUAGAGAUCGGGAAGAACAUCGGUGGCGAAAGCGCUCUACUGGACGGCAACUGACACUCAGGGACGAAAGCUAGGGGAGCG